Molecule: ribosomal RNA, 468 nt
Filed under: uncultured bacterium
Lineage: Bacteria
Description: partial 16S ribosomal RNA
Rfam family: Bacterial small subunit ribosomal RNA
Source: RNAcentral
GACGAACGCUGGCGGCGUGCUUAACACAUGCAAGUCGAACGGAAAGGCCCUGCUUUUGUGGGUUUCUCGAGUGGCGAACGUGUGAGUAACACGUGUGUAACCUGCCCUUGACUUUGUGAUAACUUCUGGAAACUUUUGCUAAUACCGGCUAUUAUCUCCUGCUGCAUUUUGGUUUUUUGUUAGUUUCGGCGGUUGGGGAUGGACUCGCGGCUUAUCAGCUUGUUGGUGGGGUAGUGGCUUACCAAGGCUUUGACGGGUAGCCGGCCUGAGAGGGUGACCGGCCACAUUGGGACUGAGAUACGGCCCAGACUCCUACGGGAGGCAGCAGUGGGGAAUAUUGCAAAAUGGGCGGAAGCCUGAUGCAGCAACGCCGCGUGCGGGAUGACGGCCUUCGGGUUGUAAACCGCUUUCGCCUGUGACGAAGCGUGAGUGACGGUAAUGGGUAAAGAAGCACCGGCUAACUACGUG